RNAcentral lists this long non-coding RNA (1406 nucleotides) under Coffea arabica (coffee). RNAcentral's name for it is "long non-coding RNA (CARA_LNC000546)". Lineage: Eukaryota; Viridiplantae; Streptophyta; Magnoliopsida; Gentianales; Rubiaceae. The record is from RNAcentral.
UUCGAAUCAUUUUCCCCCCAAGCAGAAAUGAAUGAACGAGUAGUCUGGAUGCUAUUCAGUUUCAAUGCUGGUUUGAUAAGAAAAAAAAUUACUAUCUAUAGGCAAGGCAUUGAACAAAGGGGAACUAAACAAAUAUACCUUUGGUAGCACGGCGGGUAAUAGGGGGCAUGUAGCCUUAAAUGGCGGCAACCAUACAAGUCAGAUCAACUUGUUUUUUAGCACUCCACGAAGUAUGAAUUUAGACAGCCUACAACGUGUAUCAGAAGUUGGAAAAAAAAUUACAUGCCUUAAAUAGCAUCAGCCAGUGACAUUGAGGAAAAAACACAGUAGUAGAAGAAUAUUAUGGCAACAUGAGUUCAGUUUGCAAUUAAAUAAGGCAAGACAAAAUCCUUGUACGUGAUAUGGAAAACCACAGUAGAAAGCUCUAACUCAAGCUACAAAUCCACCUCCUAUCCAAAUACUAAUAUUCAACCUGCCAUGGUACUAUGAUUUUGCAUAAUCUGCAGCCAUAGAAAUAUUUCUUGCUUGUUUUGUUGAUUCAAAUUCAAUACUGGUAACAACUGAGCUGGAGUAUUUUGCACUAAUUGAUUGAGAUUCAAUAAGCCGCUAAAGUAACCAAGCAGUCAAUGAUAUGCCUGAUCAGGGAUUUAAUCAGUAAUAGUUGGGUUUUAAUUGUUCCCUGGGGAACAGGUCGGAAUUGAGACUAACUAGGACCUUGGAAUUCAAGAAACAUUAUUGUCUGUGCAAUCAUUUGCUAGCUGAUUUACGGCACUGCUUAUUGGCAAACCAUUGGCACUUGGCAGCACAACCCCAAGAUGAGAAGCCACUGCCAACCAGAACAAUAAAAUCUCCAAUGCAAAGUAUGAGAAACAUUAAGCGUAAAAGCACAUAAUUUACAUUUUCAAAAUAAGAUAAAAGGGGAAAACAUACGACAAAAGUAAAUUAGUUUUUUUGGGUAGCAAGCUAAGCAUCAGCAAACAAACAGGUGGGGUGUUGAAUUUCUACUAAGAAGCAGCAAACAACUUGGAUGAAUUGCUCUCAUGUUUAAUAGUAGAGUAGAUUAUACCCUAAAAAUAGCAAAGAUCGAUUGUAAUUUAAACCAUUUAUUUAAUGGAAAGGAAAAAAAAAUGAAAGCCUAUGGAACUAUUUGCAAUCCAGUAAACAAAAUGGAGACUUACCACAAAAGCAAAUUCAAUAGGUAAGGAAUGAGAAUUCCAUCGUACUCUGGUUAUCUGUCAGUGUGAUGUCGAACCGAAAUCAGCAAACGAUGGGAGUGGGUCGACUGACAGAAUCGCAAAUGGGUGAGGAGUUCCUUGAUGCCUCUCGAACUCUCGCAAUGAGUCGGCAUGCCAAAUGUAUGAAAACGUGUGAGGAGCGGGGGAAAGACACAACUCAGUCGGAGAGCU